ACUAUUGUCACGGGUUACCGCGGCUGCUGGCACGGAGUUAGCCGGUGCUUCUUCUGUGAGUGAUGUCCUUCCUGCCGGCUAUUAACCCGCAGGCCUUCUUCCUCACUGAAAGUGCUUUACAACCCGAAGGCCUUCUUCACACACGCGGCAUGGCUGGAUCAGGGUUGCCCCCAUUGUCCAAUAUUCCCCACUGCUGCCUCCCGUAGGAGUCUGGGCCGUGUCUCAGUCCCAGUGUGGCUGAUCAUCCUCUCAGACCAGCUACGGAUCGUCGCCUUGGUGAGCCGUUACCUCACCAACCAGCUAAUCCGACAUAGCUCAUCCGAUAGCGCGAGGCCCGAAGGU
RNAcentral lists this ribosomal RNA (342 nucleotides) under uncultured bacterium. RNAcentral's name for it is "partial 16S ribosomal RNA". The record is from RNAcentral.